CGGGAGGCAGCAGUAGGGAAUCUUCCGCAAUGGACGAAAGUCUGACGGAGCAACGCCGCGUGAGUGAUGAAGGCUUUCGGGUCGUAAAACUCUGUUGUUAGGGAAGAACAAGUGCUAGUUGAAUAAGCUGGCACCUUGACGGUACCUAACCAGAAAGCCACGGCUAACUACGUGCCAGCAGCCGCGGUAAUACGUAGGUGGCAAGCGUUAUCCGGAAUUAUUGGGCGUAAAGCGCGCGCAGGUGGUUUCUUAAGUCUGAUGUGAAAGCCCACGGCUCAACCGUGGAGGGUCAUUGGAAACUGGGAGACUUGAGUGCAGAAGAGGAAAGUGGAAUUCCAUGUGUAGCGGUGAAAUGCGUAGAGAUAUGGAGGAACACCAGUGGCGAAGGCGACUUUCUGGUCUGUAACUGACACUGAGGCGCGAAAGCGUGGGGAGCAAACAGGAUUAGAUACCCUGGUAGUCCACGCCGUAAACGAUGAGUGCUAAGUGUUAGAGGGUUUCCGCCCUUUAGUGCUGAAGUUAACGCAUUAAGCACUCCGCCUGGGGAGUACGGCCGCAAGGCUGAAACUCAAAGGAAUUG
Molecule: ribosomal RNA, 580 nt
Filed under: uncultured bacterium
Lineage: Bacteria
Description: bacterial SSU rRNA
Rfam family: Bacterial small subunit ribosomal RNA
Source: RNAcentral